Molecule: ribosomal RNA, 710 nt
Filed under: uncultured spirochete
Lineage: Bacteria; Pseudomonadati; Spirochaetota; Spirochaetia; Spirochaetales
Description: bacterial SSU rRNA
Rfam family: Bacterial small subunit ribosomal RNA
Source: RNAcentral
CAAGUCGAGCGGCAAGGGGUAGCAAUACCCCCUAGAGCGGCGGACUGGUGAGUAACGCGUGGGUGACCUACCCUUAGGUUGGGGAUAGCCAUUAGAAAUAGUGGGUAAUACCGAAUAUGGUUGUUUUGCUAUGGCGAGACAAAGAAAGGAGCCUUGGCUCCGCCUGAGGAUGGGCCCGCGUCCCAUUAGGUAGUUGGUGAGGUAAAGGCCCACCAAGCCCGAGAUGGGUAGCCGGCCUGAGAGGGUGAACGGCCACACUGGGACUGAGAUACGGCCCAGACUCCUACGGGAGGCAGCAGCUAAGAAUAUUCCGCAAUGGACGAAAGUCUGACGGAGCGACGCCGCGUGUAUGAAGAAGGCCGAAAGGUUGUAAAGUACUUUUCUUGCUGAAGAAUAAGCGUGGGAGGGAAUGCCCGCGUGAUGACGGUAAGCAAGGAAUAAGCCCCGGCUAAUUACGUGCCAGCAGCCGCGGUAACACGUAAGGGGCGAGCGUUGUUCGGAAUUAUUGGGCGUAAAGGGCGCGUAGGCGGUUACGUAAGUCUGGCGUGAAAGGCAGGGGCUUAACUCCUGGACUGCGCUGGAAACUGCAUAACUUGAGUCAUGGAGGGGGAGUUGGAAUUCCUGGUGUAGGGGUGAAAUCUGUAGAUAUCAGGAAGAACACCGGUGGCGAAGGCGAACUUCUAGCCAAUGACUGACGCUGAGGCGCGAAA